Non-coding RNA from Macaca mulatta (Rhesus monkey), 426 nucleotides. The record is from RefSeq and is a predicted model, not a curated record. Lineage: Eukaryota; Metazoa; Chordata; Mammalia; Primates; Cercopithecidae.
ACUGAAACCUGUCUAACUGCCAUUAUUAGGGCAGCAAGCCUGGCUUAAAGUGUAGUAAUUGCAUGACCUCACGAGGUUGAGACAUAACAUCAAGCUGCUCCACCUCACUUGCUGUUUCUGAUAUAAUAACCUUGGGGAAGAGAGCAGUGAAAUUCUAGCCCUACUUGGAUGGAGAGCAUCUAGCAGGAGAAUAAACAAGAUCAAUGAAAGGAGAGUGGCCACAGCCUACAGUUUUCUUGUCCAGAUGAUGAUUUGAGAUGCAACUUAAUGCCCCUCCACUGCCUUAAUAAAAUCAAACCAAGCAACCUAAUAUGGGGACCCAGAAGCAGCGAUGAUGUCUACCUUGCAGGAAACGAACAUAUCCUGACACGGUUUACUAACUUAAAGUAUACGGUAAAGUCGUCAAGACAGUCCUAAUUAUAGGUA